Molecule: long non-coding RNA, 209 nt
Filed under: Lathyrus oleraceus (garden pea)
Lineage: Eukaryota; Viridiplantae; Streptophyta; Magnoliopsida; Fabales; Fabaceae
Description: Pisum sativum (pea) long non-coding RNA (PSAT_LNC028858)
Source: RNAcentral
UUGACACUGGUGCUACUCAUUCGUUUAUUUCGUAUGAGUGUGCGACCAGAUUGGUGUGAUUAUGUCGUCCCUAGGCGGAAGUAUGGUGAUAGAUACUCCUGCUAAUGGUUCUGUGAAAACUUCUGUUGUCUGUCGAGGUUGUCAUUUGACGAUCUUUGAGAGAGAGUUCGUGGUUGAUUUGGUGUGCUUGCCCUUGCACCAAAUUGAUA